CUGGCUCAGGAUGAACGCUGGCGGCGUGCUUAACACAUGCAAGUCGAACGAAGCCAAAAGGAAGCUUGCUUCUUGAAGCUUAGUGGCGGACGGGUGAGUAACGCGUGAGUAACCUGCCCUUCAGUGGGGAAUAACACAGAGAAAUCUGUGCUAAUACCGCAUAACGUCUCUUGCCGCAUGACAGGAAGACCAAAGGAUUUAUUCGCUGAAGGAUGGACUCGCGUCCGAUUAGCUAGUUGGUGAGGUAACGGCCCACCAAGGCGACGAUCGGUAGCCGAACUGAGAGGUUGAUCGGCCACAUUGGGACUGAGACACGGCCCAGACUCCUACGGGAGGCAGCAGUGGGGAAUAUUGGGCAAUGGGCGAAAAAGCCUGACCCAGCAACGCCGCGUGAAGGAAGACGGUCUUCGGAUUGUAAACUUCUUUGAUUGGGGAAGAAACAAAUGACCUACCCAAAGAACAAGUCACGGCUAACUACGUGCCAGCCGCGGC
RNAcentral lists this ribosomal RNA (492 nucleotides) under uncultured bacterium. RNAcentral describes it as "bacterial SSU rRNA". It matches the Rfam family "Bacterial small subunit ribosomal RNA", at positions 19 to 518 of the family's 1533-position model. The record is from RNAcentral.